UAUGUCAAAAAAACUAUGCACAGAUAAUUUUAUAAGUCCUAUCGAACGUUUGGUUCGUCAAUUGAUGUUCGGUAGCUAAAUAAUUACUUUACAUUGCAGACAAACAAAAUGAAGAGUCUGGACAUAGACAAAGUUCUUUUCAUUUAUUGCCAAAAAGAGAUAUUACAAAAUUGAACCGAAGUCCAAUUACAAGUGUUUGAUUACAAGAAGAAAAAUAACAAUACACC
This 227-nucleotide long non-coding RNA is filed under the name Elaeis guineensis (African oil palm). Its description in RNAcentral is "long non-coding RNA (EGUI_LNC037956)". Lineage: Eukaryota; Viridiplantae; Streptophyta; Magnoliopsida; Arecales; Arecaceae. The record is from RNAcentral.